CUGAACCAGCCAAGUAGCGUGAAGGAUGACUGCCCUAUGGGUUGUAAACUUCUUUUAUACGGGAAUAAAGUGAGCCACGUGUGGCUUUUUGUAUGUACCGUAUGAAUAAGGAUCGGCUAACUCCGUGCCAGCAGCCGCGGUAAUACGGAGGAUCCGAGCGUUAUCCGGAUUUAUUGGGUUUAAAGGGAGCGUAGGCGGGUUGUUAAGUCAGUUGUGAAAGUNUGCGG
RNAcentral lists this ribosomal RNA (227 nucleotides) under uncultured bacterium. RNAcentral's name for it is "partial 16S ribosomal RNA". It matches the Rfam family "Bacterial small subunit ribosomal RNA", at positions 383 to 607 of the family's 1533-position model. The record is from RNAcentral.